UCCCCGGUAGCUCAAUGGUAGAGCACCCGGCUGUUAACCUGGUGGUUGUUGGUUCGAGUCCAACCCGGGGAGCCA
Molecule: transfer RNA, 75 nt
Filed under: Bacillota bacterium
Lineage: Bacteria; Bacillati; Bacillota
Description: Firmicutes bacterium (anaerobic digester metagenome) tRNA-Asn
Rfam family: tRNA
About the family: Transfer RNA (tRNA) molecules are approximately 80 nucleotides in length. Their secondary structure includes four short double-helical elements and three loops (D, anti-codon, and T loops). Further hydrogen bonds mediate the characteristic L-shaped molecular structure. tRNAs have two regions of fundamental functional importance: the anti-codon, which is responsible for specific mRNA codon recognition, and the 3' end, to which the tRNAs corresponding amino acid is attached (by aminoacyl-tRNA synthetases). tRNAs cope with the degeneracy of the genetic code in two manners: having more than one tRNA (with a specific anti-codon) for a particular amino acid; and 'wobble' base-pairing, i.e. permitting non-standard base-pairing at the 3rd anti-codon position.
Source: RNAcentral